CCAAUAGCGUAUAUUAAAGUUGUUGUGGUUAAAAAGCUCGUAGUUGAACCUUGGGCCUGGCUGGCCGGUCCGCCUCACCGCGUGUACUGGUCCGGCCGGGCCUUUCCCUCUGUGGAACCCCAUGCCCUUCACUGGGUGUGGCGGGGAAACAGGACUUUUACUGUGAAAAAAUUAGAGUGCUCCAGGCAGGCCUAUGCUCGAAUACAUUAGCAUGGAAUAAUAGAAUAGGACGUGUGGUUCUAUUUUGUUGGUUUCUAGGACCGCCGUAAUGAUUAAUAGGGACAGUCGGGGGCAUCAGUAUUCAAUUGUCAGAGGUGAAAUUCUUGGAUUUAUUGAAGACUAACUACUGCGAAAGCAUUUGCCAAGGAUGUUUUCAUUAAUCAGGAACGAAAGUUAGGGGAUCGAAGACGAUCAGAUACCGUCGUAGUCUUAACCAUAAACUAUGCCGACUAGGGAUCGGACGGUGUUAUUUUUUGACCCGUUCGGCACCUUACGAGAACCAAAGUGUUUGGGUUC
RNAcentral lists this unclassified non-coding RNA (516 nucleotides) under uncultured Glomeromycotina. RNAcentral's name for it is "SSU rRNA". It matches the Rfam family "Eukaryotic small subunit ribosomal RNA", at positions 591 to 1114 of the family's 1831-position model. The record is from RNAcentral. Lineage: Eukaryota; Fungi; Glomeromycota.